CCCUUAGAUGUUCUGGGCCGCACGCGCGCUACACUGACGAAGUCAGCGAGCAUCUCCUUCGCCGAAAGGUGCGGGGAAUCUUGUGAAACUUUGUCGUGCUGGGGAUUGAUUUUUGAAAUUCUUGAUCAUCAACGAGGAAUUCCUAGUAAGCGCAAGUCAGCAGCUUGCGUUGAUUACGUCCCUGCCCUUUGUACACACCGCCCGUCGCUCCUACCGAUUGGGUGUGCUGGUGAAAUGUUCGGAUCGGCCGUUUGUCGCGGUUUCCGCGGCUCGUGGCUGAGAAGUUCAUUAAACCCUCCCACCUAGAGGAAGGAGAAGUCGUAACA
This 326-nucleotide ribosomal RNA is filed under the name uncultured eukaryote. RNAcentral's name for it is "partial 18S ribosomal RNA". It matches the Rfam family "Eukaryotic small subunit ribosomal RNA", at positions 1470 to 1796 of the family's 1831-position model. The record is from RNAcentral.